RNAcentral lists this long non-coding RNA (711 nucleotides) under Marmota monax (woodchuck). The record is from RNAcentral. Lineage: Eukaryota; Metazoa; Chordata; Mammalia; Rodentia; Sciuridae.
AUUCUGUGUUCCCUUACUUUUCUCUUGAAAUGGAAGAUUCAUUCUUGCAAUGACUUAUUUUGGCACAGUAACUUGCUCUCUGAGAGGGAUAUUCUGUGGGAUGUUUGCUGCCUUUUUAAUUUUACUGCUCCAAGUGCCUAGAUGAUGACAAUAAAUGAUUGGAGAUUUGUAUGUACUGGAUCUGAAAUUCUUACAGUUACCUAAAAGUUGAACAGAAAGAAGUAAAUUUGUACAAUUAAUAAUUUAAUGUAAAAAGAACUUAUGAUUGUGGGAGUAUUAUGCCCCAUGCACAGUACCUAGCUGAAUGUUUUGUGCAAUUUAUAGUUAUAAAUUAAAAUAAUUAAGGUUAUAGGCUCAGAGAAGGAAAGCAAUAGGCUCAAAGUUACACAGAAAGAUAGGACAAAGUUGAAACUACAACUCUGGUCCUCUAUCUUCAAGAUCAGUGUUCUUUCUACUUAGAAAGAGCAUGAUUGUCAUCUCAUAAAGCCAUGGCCAGUGAAAAAGCUGCAGAUUUGUUUAAAAAGUGAGAUGUGAGCCAGGCAUGGCAGUGUAUACCUGUAAUUCCAGCUAUUUGGUAGGUUGAGGCAAGCAGACUUAAAGUUUGAGGCCCCAUAUAGGACUCAUCUGUCAGUACAAUAAGCUACUCCCAACAUUACUCACCUCCACAUCUGGACCACCCCAUUUCUACUGAGUCUUCAAACUUGUACAUAU